Molecule: small RNA, 524 nt
Filed under: Pongo abelii (Sumatran orangutan)
Lineage: Eukaryota; Metazoa; Chordata; Mammalia; Primates; Hominidae
Description: retained intron
Source: RNAcentral
AGGGCGGGACUUCUGGCGUCUUCGCAGCGGUCAUUUUGGCUGCCCUGCGGUCUGUUCUAUCCGUCAGCCGCUUUGGUGUGCUGCAUCCGGAUCGAAGUGACGGACCGUGAAGCCGCGAGAAUCAGGUCUGAGGGUCGGGGGCAGAGCCGCCCGCGAGGCCGGCCUGGGGAUAGCGGUGCUCGGGUUCUCCCCGGGUCUCCCGCAGCUCCCGGUCCAGCUCCGCCCACAGACUCGGAUGGCGACCGUACUGAGGGACCCGGCUUCGGUUCCCAUAGCUACAGAGGUGCUUUUCAGACUUACACAGGUAAGUGGAGGUAUCUCAGCCCCUCACUGGUCUGGAAUGUCCCUCCUCCCUCCCCAGACAGAUAUUUUGUUUAGAUUUGUGGUGUCAUGGGACUCACCUACCAUUCUCUCAGCCUUUGGUUUGGGAACCCGGGAGAAUCCCUGAGCUCAGGAUCCUGAGUCCAGGCCAACGUUUCCAUUUGGAGCAGCCAAUGGAAAGAGGGGUGAAAAUUUGAUAGGAA